UACGGAGGGUGCAAGCGUUGUUCGGAAUCAUUGGGCGUAAAGCGCGCGCAGGCGGCCUGUUAAGUCCGGUGUGAAAGCCCGAGGCUCAACCUCGGAGGUGCAUUGGAAACUGGCAGGCUUGAGUCCGGGAGGGGUCAGUGGAAUUCGUGGUGUAGGGGUGAAAUCCGUAGAGAUCACGAGGAACACCAGUGGCGAAGGCGACUGACUAGACCGGAACUGACGCUGAGGCGCGAAAGCGUGGGUAGCAAACAGG
Molecule: unclassified non-coding RNA, 253 nt
Filed under: uncultured Bradymonadales bacterium
Lineage: Bacteria; Deltaproteobacteria; Bradymonadales
Description: contains 16S-23S intergenic spacer region
Rfam family: Bacterial small subunit ribosomal RNA
Source: RNAcentral